This 254-nucleotide ribosomal RNA is filed under the name uncultured bacterium. Its description in RNAcentral is "partial 16S ribosomal RNA". It matches the Rfam family "Bacterial small subunit ribosomal RNA", at positions 524 to 776 of the family's 1533-position model. The record is from RNAcentral.
UACGUAGGGUGCGAGCGUUGUCCGGAAUUAUUGGGCGUAAAGAGCUCGUAGGCGGUCUGUCGCGUCGGUCGUGAAAACUUGGGGCUUAACCCUGAGCUUGCGGUCGAUACGGGCAUGACUGGAGUUCGGCAGGGGAGACUGGAAUUCCUGGUGUAGCGGUGAAAUGCGCAGAUAUCAGGAGGAACACCGGUGGCGAAGGCGGGUCUCUGGGCUGACACUGACGCUCAUGCACGAAAGCGUGGGGAGCAAACAGG